This 253-nucleotide ribosomal RNA is filed under the name uncultured bacterium. RNAcentral's name for it is "partial 16S ribosomal RNA". It matches the Rfam family "Bacterial small subunit ribosomal RNA", at positions 524 to 776 of the family's 1533-position model. The record is from RNAcentral.
UACAGAGGGUGCGAACGUUGCUCGGAAUUACUGGGCGUAAAGCGCGUGUAGGCGGGACGAUAAGUCGGAAGUGAAAUCCCCGGGCUCAACCCGGGAACUGCUUUCGAAACUGCCGUCCUCGAGUACCGGAGAGGGUGGCGGAAUUCCUGGUGUAGAGGUGAAAUUCGUAGAUAUCAGGAGGAACACCGGUGGCGAAGGCGGCCACCUGGACGGUUACUGACGCUGAGACGCGAAAGCGUGGGGAGCAAACAGG